Molecule: unclassified non-coding RNA, 21 nt
Filed under: synthetic construct
Description: RNA (5'-R(*UP*UP*AP*AP*UP*UP*AP*UP*CP*UP*AP*UP*UP*CP*CP*GP*UP*AP*CP*UP*U)-3') from synthetic construct (PDB 5N8L, chain B)
Source: RNAcentral
UUAAUUAUCUAUUCCGUACUU